UCCAGUAACUCUUCUUGAGUCAGGUGUGUUUGUUCUUUCGCCAGGCACCCUAAUUUCAAACUGAAUGAAACCUCUGGUAUUUCUCCUGAUGCCUAAAGUUUUGAGAUGUGACAAUGUUUGUAUUCCAGUAUCCUACCAUUCCAGGAAGUUCAGGUCAUGAGAAUGUUGUAUAAUUGUCUUCAUCUGACCAAAGAACAGAAAUGAGACUCAGAAACCACCAAAGAGCUAGACGGCACAACCCGGAAGUAAUGGGCAUUUGGACGUCUAGGGAUGACCACUGAGAUGCAAGAGACAAGAUGGAGUUGGGAAGUGGGUCUGAGCAGGGAUGUCCAAACACUUAAGAUCCAGAUGGUGAAAUUCCAUCCAGAUACAGAGGAGACAGUCACUAAAGGCCUGGAGACAAAUAGCAGCUACUGGCCAAUGGAAAAUGUCUCUACUCCAUGACCUUGAGCACUGGGAAAGCAGGAAGGUUUUACUGAUGUUGCAGGCUGUCUAUUAUCAUGGUGUUUCUCAAUUUUUUUUUUUUUUUGCCUACAUUUUUUGGUAAGAAAUAUAAAUGUAUAUAAUAUAUAACUAUAUAUAUAAUGGAAACAGAAAUUUCCUAAAUCAAUAUUUUCCCCUCCCCUUUGAAAUAUGCUUAUUUUCUCUCAUUUUCUAUUCUGCUCUAUUCUAUUUCAUUUCUAAAAUGUCGCUCAGAUGGAAAACAAAUCUGUGGUUUCCAGGGGUUAUGAACAGUAUGUCUGGCAGGAGGAGACAGUGACUAUAAAAAGGUAAUUUUGCCUUUCGUGGUGAGGGAGAGUUUUGUAUCUUGAUUAUGGUGGCAGUGAUCAUACACAUAUAUAUGUAUGACAGAAUUGCACACACACAUAAAGGUGUGCUCGUAAUAAUGGGAAAUCUGAGUAAGGCCACUAGUCUGUAGUAGUUAAAUGUACUGGGCCAGUGUCAGUUUCCUGGUUUUGAUAAGGUGCUAUAGUCAGCUAAGAUGUGUCUAUUGGGUGAAGCCGGGCGAUGGGUACACGGGACCCCUCUGAACUACUUUUGCAAUUUCUUGCGCAUGUCUAUUUCAAAACAAAAAUGUUUUGAAUAUUACUCAAGACCCAUUAAAUUACUCAAGGUCACAAUCCGUAGUUUAAAAAUGAAACCCUGGUUCACCAAGAGUGGAUGUUGGAUCAGCAGCAGCUGUGCCUACAUAAACUGAUUUGUCUGAAGAGAUACAUCGGCCUGUGCAGACUGUAUUUGAACUGGCUGGGACUCCACAACCUUAAGGCUCACUAACCCCCGCCUCAACCCCUGCCAGUGGACUGGGAAGCUAGGGGUUGCACAGAGUAGACAGACUUUUAUUUCAUUUUCUUUGUGUGUCAUCCUCUAAAUGUCCCUAUCCUAUCCCUCCCCCAUUUUUUUUUUUUUAAAGACACUUGAUCCUGGGGCACCUGGGUGGCUCAGUCAGUUAAGAGUCAGACUUUGGCUCAGGUCAUGAUCUGACAGUUCCUGGAACCCUGCGACAGGCUCUGUGCUGAUAGCUCAGAGCCUGGAAACUUCUUCGGCUUCUUUGUCUCCCUCUCUCUCUGCCCCUGCCCCGCUCAUACUCUUUCUUCCUCUCGCUCAGAAAUAAAAAACAAAAAAGUUAAAAACACUGAUCCUCAUUUCACCGCUCGGACAUUAGAGCACUGUUUCUCAAAGCGCCGUCGUUGGCCCCCUGCCUCACUUAAGGCUAUGAAUGCAGAUUCCUGCUACUCACUGAAACUCACUUAAUUAGAUUCUUUGGAGGCGGUGUUCAGAAAUAUACACUUUUAAACAAGCUUGCCAGAGGUUUUUAUGUGCACCACGUUGGCUUGAGAAGCUUGUUGAAACCCGAUCCGUGAAUAUGCAGGACGUCAAUUACAACACUGGAAGUGAAUUUGAGUUAAAAAGUUCCUCUGUUGUGAAGAUAGGAUUUCUGAGGUUAGCUUUCGUUCCAGCUUAUAUGAUCUUUGAGCAAUAAAGUUUCCAAUGUUGACAUAA
This is a long non-coding RNA of Neofelis nebulosa (Clouded leopard), 2001 nucleotides long. RefSeq lists it as uncharacterized. The record is from RefSeq and is a predicted model, not a curated record. NCBI's taxonomy places the organism in Eukaryota, Metazoa, Chordata, Mammalia, Carnivora, Felidae. The transcript has 3 exons.